UGAAGCUGGAAUUGCUAGUAAUCACAGGUCAGCAUACUGUGGUGAAUACGUUCCCGGGCCUUGUACACACCGCCCGUCACACCAUGAGAGUUGAGAAUACCCGAAGCCCAUGUCAAAGUGGUCGAAGGUAGGCUUGAUGAUUGGGUGAAGUCGUAACAAGGUAAC
RNAcentral lists this ribosomal RNA (165 nucleotides) under uncultured bacterium. RNAcentral describes it as "partial 16S ribosomal RNA". It matches the Rfam family "Bacterial small subunit ribosomal RNA", at positions 1321 to 1500 of the family's 1533-position model. The record is from RNAcentral.